UACGGAGGGUGCAAGCGUUAUCCGGAUUUACUGGGUUUAAAGGGUGCGUAGGUGGGUAGGUAAGUCAGUGGUGAAAUCUUCAAGCUUAACUUGGAAACUGCCAUUGAUACUAUUUAUCUUGAAUACUUUGGAGGUAAGCGGAAUAUGUCAUGUAGCGGUGAAAUGCUUAGAUAUCAAGAGGAACACCUGAGGUGAAGACGGGUUGCUGGGCUGACACUGACGCUGAGGCGCGAAAGCCAGGGGAGCAAACGGG
Molecule: ribosomal RNA, 253 nt
Filed under: uncultured bacterium
Lineage: Bacteria
Description: partial 16S ribosomal RNA
Rfam family: Bacterial small subunit ribosomal RNA
Source: RNAcentral